This 2946-nucleotide long non-coding RNA is filed under the name Homo sapiens (human). Its description in RNAcentral is "HSALNT0254854". The record is from RNAcentral. Lineage: Eukaryota; Metazoa; Chordata; Mammalia; Primates; Hominidae.
AAAAAAUCCCCUAGCCCAGUUUUUGGGCAGAUGCCAGACUUUUAUUCUGAAGCGUGGGCCACAACCUAUGAGGUAAUCUUUGGAGCUUCAUUCUGAGGCGGAAUCCCAUUGGCCAGUUGGGGAAGCCCCUCCCAGGAUUCCUGGCGCUCCGCCUUCCCUGAAGCCUAUAAAAGCGCAGGUCCCCGCCUCGGCAGCCACGGGACACCUGCAUCUGCCAACAAGACUGGAAGCAGAAAGGGACAGAGACGGCGAAGUUUGACGGUCUGGAAAGCAGAGACCAGCAGGGCUGACUGCUUGGGAGCACCAAAUAUCCGGACAGCGCCUCUCGGGAGGUCCGAGAAGAGAACCGCGAUCUGUUUCAGCACCGGGGCUCAGGACAGUUCCCAGCGGGCUCCGUUUCGUCUCCAGAACCCUGGACAGCUCCUCCAGCCUCCCAAAGUGCUAGGAUUACAGGCGUGAGUCACUGCGCCUGGCCCAAGUCCGGAAUUUUCAACAGCUUGGAAUGCACUCCCUCCACCUCCAACCAGAGCUCCCCACAACUGACCCUGCCUUCUUCUGCAAGCUCCAUUUCAUCAAGGGAAACGAUCCUUAUUGCCUCACCAUUUCCCACGUGAAGUCUGUAUUGACAUUCUCAUAGACCUGGGAUAUUGUGUCUGCAGCACAUAGUCCAAUUAUUUUCAUGUUAUCUACUGACAGGUCUAUUUGUCUCCCUGUUACACUGUGAGCUCCGUGAGGGCAGAAACAAUGUUAGUAUUUUCACUGCUGUGUCCCCAGCGCCUGGUCCGGGGCCCGGCACACAGCAGGCAUAUAAUAAGCAUGUGUUGAAUCAAUAAAGGCAUCAAAGAAUAAACCAAUACAUCAAUCAAUAAAUGAAUGAAUGGCCUCAGCACACACAGGAAGAUCCUUCUUCUAGGUCUCCCCCAGAGAGAUACUGGAGGGCAAUGGUUGCUGGAGGUGUUUAUUGGGGAAGCAUAAUUGAAUUUGUGGACACUUAAGGGCCGGCCAGCCAACUCACAGCCCCAAGAGAGAGAGCCAGGCUCAUUUAAUUAGCAAUUACAAGGCACUGAUUCCUCAUUAGCUCUGGCAACCCUCGUCUCCCUCCUCAGCCCCAGACAAAUGAAAUCUUUCUCUCUCUCCCAGGAGUACUGCCUCAGUGGGUCCAUUAACAAGCAGAGAAAAUGAGAUUAGAAGACACCUAAAUGCCAGAGGCACUUUAUGAAUGGGCUGAGCAGAGGGAGGUUCAAUGUCUGGGUUAGGUCUAAUUGUGGGAGGUUUCCUGGUCUAUUUAGAAUUGCCCCCUGGGAAUGCAAGGUCUUUCAGAAAGGAAAAGGCACACAGAUAUUGCCUUCUGGGGUCCUCAAUGGAGGAGGACAUUCUGCUAUGGGUGUCUCCCAGUCACCCCAAAUUAAUCAUUUCAAAGUGAACACUCAAUCUGCCCAGCCCCUAGCUUCCUCCCCUGACAUGCCCAUGAAUAUGACAGUCCCUCUACAUGCCCAAGAUCCUCCCCUCCUCAUCCACUCCCCAUGAUCCCCAAGAUGAGUCACUGUGCUCAAAUCCAUCCUCUCUCCUCCAGCCCUCUGCCUCCAUGACCUCCCUCCAGCCCUCUGCCUCCAUGACCUCCGCCUCCCUGCAUGUCCGGAUCUCCUCACUGUCUCCCCUCUGAGCAUACACACACAUACAGCCUGUUCAUUCUCUACAUGCAGCGAGGGGACUUUCCAGAACACACAUCUGACCAAGUUCCACUCCUGCCUGUCACCCUUCCAAGAGCCCCACUGACUGCAGAAUAACGUUCAAAUAUCCGGUUGGGCGUGGUGGCUCAUGCCUGCAGUCCCAGCACUUUGGGAGGCCAAGGUGGGUGGAUCACUUGCACAGGACCACAGGCGUGUGCCACCACACCCAGCUAAUUUUUAUAUUUUUGGUAGAGACGGAGUUUCACCAUGUUGGCCAGGCUGACCUCAAGUGAUCCACCCGCCUCAACCUCCCAAAGUGCUGGGAUUACAGGCAUGAGUCACUGCACCGGUCUAAUUUUUUCAGAGUCUCACUCUUGCCCAGGCUGGAGUGCAGUAGCAUGAUCUCGGUUCACUGCAACCUCUGCCUCCUGGUUUCAAGCGAUUCUCUUGGCUCAGCCUCCUGAGCAGCUGGGAUUACAGGCACGUGCCACCACACUUAGCUAAUUUUUGUAUUUUUAGUAGAGAUGGGGGUCUCACCAUGCUGGCACAGUUGGUCUUGAACUCCUGACCUCAAGUGAUCCACCCACCUCGGCUUCCCAAAGUGCUGGGAUUACAGACGUGAGCCACCGCGCCCGGCCAGCCUUUAUUGAUUCUUUUUAAAGCCACACUAACCUUUUAUUUUCCCCCAAAGACCCCUGGGAGCCCUCAGUUUUUCCUGGCAGUUUCAUCUUUGUACCCCUGACCUCCCCACACACACGCCUAGCUCAGUGCUGGCAUCCAAUAUUCACUUUGGGUAUAAAUGCUUGUGCCUGAGCCUAUCACCUUCAUCACACAGAAAAUCCUGGAGGCCACACACCCCUGUAAAGACGAGCCAUUACCCACAGAGGUCCAACCAACUUACCACCCUCUCCCAGCCACCCCCAAGGACCCAGCUUGCAGCUGCCUGCUCAAUGGCUUUAGAAACUAAAAAAGGUGAAUGAGUUUCCAUCACUGCCCUCCUGGGCUUUGCCGUUAUGGCUGGUUAACUUGACAGAAGAACACAUUAUACUUCAUUUUUUGCUGUUGUCUUGUUGGAAAAAAAAGUGACAGCUGGGUGCAGUGGUGCACACUGUAGUCACAGCUACUCAGGAGAAUUGCUUGAGCACAGGAAUUGGAGGCUACACUGAGCAAUGAUCGCCUCACUGCACUCCAGCCUGAACGACAGAGCAAGACCCUCUUAAAAAAUACGUGAGAGAGGGUGCGUAUGAUGGCUCAUGCCUGUAAUCCCAGCAGUUUG